This 425-nucleotide ribosomal RNA is filed under the name uncultured bacterium. RNAcentral describes it as "bacterial SSU rRNA". It matches the Rfam family "Bacterial small subunit ribosomal RNA", at positions 354 to 796 of the family's 1533-position model. The record is from RNAcentral.
GUGGGGAAUCUUAGACAAUGGGCGCAAGCCUGAUCUAGCCAUGCCGCGUGAGCGAUGAAGGCCUUAGGGUUGUAAAGCUCUUUCAGUGGGGAAGAUAAUGACUGUACCCACAGAAGAAGCCCCGGCUAACUCCGUGCCAGCAGCCGCGGUAAUACGGAGGGGGCUAGCGUUGUUCGGAAUUACUGGGCGUAAAGCGCACGUAGGCGGACUGGAAAGUCAGGGGUGAAAUCCCGGGGCUCAACCCCGGAACUGCCUUUGAAACUCCCAGUCUUGAGGUCGAGAGAGGUGAGUGGAAUUCCGAGUGUAGAGGUGAAAUUCGUAGAUAUUCGGAGGAACACCAGUGGCGAAGGCGGCUCACUGGCUCGAUACUGACGCUGGGGUGCGAAAGCGUGGGGAGCAAACAGGAUUAGAUACCCGGGUAGUCC